UAUGAAAUGUGUCCGUGGGGCCGGUGAGUAAUCUCUUAGAGAGGAUGACAAUCCUGUUACAUCACCCUGCAGUAAGCCUGCUGCAUUAUCUCAGACAUGUGACUUAGGCAGUGGCGGUAGGGUUAGGCUGUUGUCCCGGGCUCUCCUGCCACAGUGAUGUCAGCGGAUACCUGGAAAUAUGACCUCAUCAUUUACAUAUAGUGUGUUUAUUAACUUCUCAAUCAAAACAGAGUUUGUUGACUUGGGGGAAGAGCUGCCUUGUCACGAGAGUUUAAGUAGCAUCAAGAGUGAGGAAAUGAAGCACAUAGCAAGUGGAUGAAUUAGAUUCUGUAAAGUUUGAUAGUUUUUCAAAAAGUCUCUUGUAUGGCUUGUGUUUGAGCACAGCAAAAAGAGCGGUCUAACUGUUGUUGUCUCUUCCUGACCGAUGUCACUUCCUAUAUAUGGAAGAGUCGUCUGGGCUGAAAAAGGAGUAUUGUAAUUAGUCAAGUGGCUCCCUGAGCUUGAAACCACGACAGCCAAAUACUGGAGUUUCAACAGCAUCUAGACCGCUGCUAGGUGCUUGGCUUGGUGCCACGGCCUCUGAGUGCAUGUCUGGCUACCGCAACCAGCCUCCAUCACAAGCUCCUGCAAGUUGCCUGAAGACAACCCAGUAAAUAAAAAAGAUAUAUAUAAAAAAAACAUCCUUCAAAUGUUGUGACUCAAAACAGGGCUACAGAGAAGAAAGUUUUGUUGGCUUUUGCACAGCUCCGCAUCAGCAGGGAAAAGAGUUCUCUGGAAAUGAAAUAAGGGCACUUCCAUUUAUAGUUUCUUAGUGGUUUCCUUCCUGUCAUAACUGGCUCUCCAGACAAGGUCAUCAGCCUGUGAGAGAGGGACCACUGGUCAGUCAGUGCCUCCUCCCUCGCUGUAGAUGUGACACGCAGCUGAGGAAGACCCUGACCCAGCUUCUUUGGAAAUCUGGCUGCGUGACUAAGUAGCACAGCACGCUGUAUAUCUGGUAGAACACACAGAAGUGCUGCAGACGUGUGUUACUGUAAUCCACCUUUUCCAGUCUUGGCACAAGCAGACGAGAAUGUGAGGAUGUGAUGUGGCUGUCAGCAAGAUUGAAAUUACAGCUGCUCGGGGCAGUUAAGCUGUCUGCAGUCCCUCUUGCUGCCUGUGGUCCUCUCAGUCCGGCCCAGGCACAUUACAGUCUAUACGGUACGAAGGCUUCGCUGGGGAUGGGGGCUCUGCAGCUUAAUGAGCAGCGAAUGCACUGCCUGUUUAAUGGCCAUGAACUAGGCUGAUAAUUAAAACGCACACAUUCCAGCCACCUUCAUGGUUACGCAACGCUGCGGUUCAUGUGGACAGAGACCCCCGGGUGUUGACCUUAAGAGUCGCACCAUUCUGUCCCUAUUUCGGGAACUCCAGCGUGGUGGGCAGAAAAAUCCCUCUGGAGUGGUGUUUAUUUUUCUUGGCAAUAGGGAACGCUGACUCCUCGGGGAAUUGUGAAAUAUUCCCUUAACUUUCUGCUCCAUCUGCCAGAGUGUCUCUUAAAUGCCCAGAUCUUUAACAGCUGCUUGUUUUUUACAUUUUUCUAUAUUAUGAUUUUUUUUUUUUAGAAUUAGGGUUAGAAAUCCAGAAAUUCAGCAAAGUGAGCUGUACGUUGUCAUGUUGUUCUUUCCCCCUCUCAUCUGUUUGCCACCUUUCAUUAAAACAAAAUCCUCUUUUCUUUGGUAGUUAGUAGUACUUUGUUUUAUUGUUUGGUGGCUGAAGGCUACUUGAAAAUAGUUACAAGGCAUCAUGAGCGGUCCUUAAUUAUGAGCAUAUGUCUUAUUUUUUUCAGAAAUGAACAAAACAUUAAAAUGGCUAAUUAAAAGAAACAACAUUUUCCAACAUGACAUUUUCCAACUAUGCUUGGAUGUUGCUUGUGAUGUCUUGUAAACAUGACAUCUUUCAAACUUUGAUGGUGCUAUUUAACCUGUUUUUAACCAGAGUUCGUCAAAGCCCAGUUUAAUCUUGUCUGUCCAAAUUUAGGCUGUGGUGUAAAGACGUUUGGACAGAUUGAGAGUCUGUCAGAUACAGACUUAGCAACUCUGGUCAGCUACACGAGCGUGGUUCAUCUCAUCAGACACCAGAUGUUUACAGCUGGAACACACACAUACACACACACACACACACACACACACACACACAUACAGUGAGAGCCUUGUUAGCAGCUGCUCACACUAUAAUGAGGCACAUUGUAAUGCAGUUUUGCAGGGGAGUCCAGUGGCUUUGUAGCAAUGUUGGUGUUACAGGAAAUUUAUGACCCAAAAGCUCCAAUUUGAGUUGAAACUCGAAUGAUCCUCCCUGUAAAAUUAAAAAGUAAUUUUGAAAGACUACUUAUGAUUCUUACCACUU
This is a long non-coding RNA of Myripristis murdjan (pinecone soldierfish), 2379 nucleotides long. RefSeq lists it as uncharacterized. Lineage: Eukaryota; Metazoa; Chordata; Actinopteri; Holocentriformes; Holocentridae. The transcript has 2 exons. The record is from RefSeq and is a predicted model, not a curated record.